CUGAGAUCCUGCCACUGCACUCCAGCCUGGGCAACAGAAGAAGACCCUGUCUCCAAACAAAUAAUAAUAAAUCAAGACCUAAAGGACAAGAAGACGUUUGCCAUUUGCAGAGCUGGAGAAAAGCAUGGUGGCACAGGAAGUGGCAUGUGCAAAGGUCCUGGGGCAGGGAAGAAGUCAGCAUUCUUCCCUCAUUCUCGUCUUUGCAAAGGUCCUGGGACAGGGAAGAAAUCAGCAUGCUUCCCUCAUUCUCGUCUUUGCAAAGGUCCUGGGGAAGGGAAGAAGUCAGCAUGCUUCCCUCAUUCUCGUCUUUGCAAAGGUCCUGGGGCAGGGAAGAAGUCACUAUGCUUCUAUGCUUCUCUCAUUCUCGUCUUUGCAAAGGUCCUGGGGCAGGGAAGAAGUCAGCAUGCUUCUCAUUCUCAUCUUUGCAAAGGUCCUGGGGCAGGGAAGAAGUCAGCAUGCUUCUCUCAUUCUCGUCUUUGCAAAGGUCCUGGGGCAGGGAAGAAGUCAGCAUGGUUCUCAUUCUCAUCUUUGCAAAGGUCCUGGGGCAGGGAAGAAGUCAGUGUGCUUCUCUCAUUCUCGUCUUUCCUGUGCACCUGCUUCAUCAUCCUCUCCUGUUUGACCAGCAUCUUCACUCCCUCAUCUGCUAGUCUGUGACCAGAACAGCAGCCUCGGGCAUCCUCCCAGCUCAACUUUCCAAGACCUGCAUAGUCAGUAGCCCAGGGUCCUGAUUUUGUUUCCUGGGGCAGAGUCUGAUUGACCCACCUUGGUGUCACUCUGGUCCAUUUGGGGUGGGGGUUCUUGAUUCUGCCAUAACCACUUAGGUCAAGGGUCAUCAGACCACAGGCCAAAUCUCCCCACUGCCUGUUUUUGUGAAUGAACUUCGCAAAAGUUCAUGUGUGUGGCUGCUUCUGUGUCACAGCGGUGGAGUUGAGUUGUGUGACAGAGAUGACAUGGCUUGCAGAGCCAGAACUGUUAGUAAACAGUCACCCAUUACAGAGAAAAUGUGCCAACCUCUGACCCAGGCCAACUCUUUCACUGGGGGCCAUGGGUGAGAGAAGAUUCUCUCAAGAAAGGGCCCUCUCAGGGAGGUAGUGACUGGCUUUCCCAGGAUAUUUAAAAACUGGAAAUCACCUAAGUGUCCAAGAACAGGGGAAGGAUCAGGUAACUUGAAGGAUGCCCAUGUGACUGGCUGUCACAAUACCAUCACUGAUGAUGUGCCAGAAGGUUCUGUCUGCAUGGGGAAAUGAAACGUUCUGAAAGUGAAGAAGGCCGGAGGGUACUAUGUCUGUGCAGCCUAACUUCAGCUGUGUAAUGUGCAUGCAGUAACCAUGGAUAAACCUUAAAUGAGUGCCUUAAGUAUGGGAGUGAAACACUGUUUAGCCAGGGAGUUGGAAGGAUCCACUCCAGAUGGGGUAGAGAGGUGACCCUGUGGCAGUUGCUGAGGAAAUUGGCAGAGCCUGGGCAUGGUUCAAUAUUCCGUGUGCCUAUUUCUUCUUUUUUUUUUUUUUUUUGAGGUGGAGUCUUGCUCUGUCACCCAGACUGGAGUGCAGUGGCACAGUCUCAGCUCACUGCAUCCUGCAUCUCCCAGGUUCAAGUGAUUCUCCUGCCUCAGCCUCCCAAGGAGCUGAGACUACAGGCACGCACCACCACACUUGGCUAAUUUUUCUAUUUUUGGUAGAGAUGAGAUUUCAUCCUGUUGACCAGGCUGGUCUCGAACUCCUGACCUCAAAUGAUUCACCUGCCUCGGCCUCCCAAAGUGCUGGGAUUAUAGGCGUGAGCCACCGUGCCCAAUCUCCCUGUGCCCACUCUUGUGUUGUUUGAGCUUUGGAAAGUUUAAGAAGUUAUGAAAAGUCUGAAAUAGGGGAGAAACGUCCCUGAGUAUUUAGGGAUCAGUAGCACUGUCAUCUAUAACUUACAUUGAAACACAUCAAAAAUACGGAUAAAUGGUUAGAUAGAUGGAUAGGUAUGUGGUACAGCAAAGUGUUAAUUGCAGAAUGUAGGUGGUGGCAGUGUGUUUCAACACAACUCUUCUGUGUGUUGAAAUUUUCAUAAAAUAACAAGAGGAAAAGUUAGGGAGAAAAUGAACCAUGGAGAGGUUUUACAAGUAAAAGGCGGAAGUCUGUCUUCACAAUCCGGUAUUUUAUAGAAUAUUCACAGGAUUAUGCAGCCGCUAUCUCUAUCCAAUUUCAGAACAUUUUCAUCAACACAGAAAGAAACCGCGUCCCCAUUGGCAGUCACGCCCCAUUUCCCCUCCCUUAGUCCCUGGCAACCACUCGUCGGCUUCCUGUCUCUGUGGAUUUGCCUCAUGUGGACAGUUUAUAUAAAUGGAGUCAUACACUGCA
This is a long non-coding RNA of Homo sapiens (human), 2342 nucleotides long. RefSeq lists it as uncharacterized. The record is from RefSeq and is a predicted model, not a curated record. The transcript is spliced from 2 exons. NCBI's taxonomy places the organism in Eukaryota, Metazoa, Chordata, Mammalia, Primates, Hominidae.